ACGUAGGGACCGAGCGUUGUCCGGAAUUAUUGGGCGUAAAGAGCUCGUAGGCGGUUCUUUAAGUCGGAUGUGAAAUCUCAGGGCUUAACCCUGAAACCGCACCCGAUACUGGAGAACUUGAGGCAGGUAGGGGAGAUCGGAAUUCCUGGUGUAGCGGUGAAAUGCGCAGAUAUCAGGAGGAACACCGGUGGCGAAGGCGGAUCUCUGGGCCUGUUCUGACGCUGAGGAGCGAAAGCGUGGGGAGCAAACAGG
RNAcentral lists this ribosomal RNA (252 nucleotides) under uncultured bacterium. RNAcentral's name for it is "partial 16S ribosomal RNA". It matches the Rfam family "Bacterial small subunit ribosomal RNA", at positions 525 to 776 of the family's 1533-position model. The record is from RNAcentral.